Molecule: non-coding RNA, 1433 nt
Organism: Camelina sativa (false flax)
Lineage: Eukaryota; Viridiplantae; Streptophyta; Magnoliopsida; Brassicales; Brassicaceae
Source: RefSeq, a predicted model, not a curated record
GGAAGUAUUAUUUAAUACUUUUUGUUUACUUAGUCUAAACCUCAAAAACGUUUCAGUUUCUCUUCUCAACCUAGAUUCACUUCUUCUUCCUCACCCAUAAUUUUUUCUUCACCCGAUUCACUUCUUCUUUUUCCCGUUUCUCCCUCUUUCUCUCUUCUAAGUCAAAGAUUAUGUUUCUCAUAUCCACCACAACCACUCAACUAUGGACUACGAAUCAUAUCGACGUUGCUGUAACCGCAAUCCCCAAAACAGAGAAGAACCCGAUGGUUCUGGGCUAAUGUUCAAACCCUCUCCACAGGAGUCUCGGGAUCGCCUACAGCUGCGUUACCUCCUAUCCUAAUGACCAUUGAGGAUUUCGUUUCUCAACCGGGACAAGAACUUAUCCCAAAACUCCAUCCCAACUACAUCGGAGAUGCUACAUGGUUUGAGGCAUCUGAAAAUGGCAUUAGCAAAUCUCUAAACCGGAUGAUGUAUGAUUUUCUCAAAGAACCUUUUGAAACAUACUCAUCAAUGCCAAGUGAUGACAGUGACCUUUGGUUUAAACAGUUUGCGCGAGAAUUUAAUCUGGGAGCCACAAAUGCCAUCUAGAUGUCCGUCGAGAGUAUGACAAAGUGGCGACGACUCAAUAUUCCAACACGUUAAGUGAGUGGAAGAAGAAGUGGAAGUGUGGAGAAACUCCAAAGGGAAUAAACGACAAGGUGUACGAAGGGUUGCAAGAGUAUGGGGCACAUCCCAAGAAAAUGAAACUUCUAUCCAGAAAUCUAAGAACCGGAAUAGCAAUCGAGGUGGCAAAGGGCGACCAACGCACAACGCAGGGUCAACAAGCUUCUAUACCCUUGAACUACAACUUGUAAGUUUUCAACAAUUUCUAGCACAAUUCAAAGACCAAACGAGAUGGUGUGGCUCCUGAUCACUUAACGUUGAUGGAAGACACCCACACCAAUAAAAAGACCAAGCAAAUUCAAGACCCUUUACCUAAGGAAGAGAUUGGCAAUUCUCGUAAGAGGAUGGAGGAGUUUAGCUUAUCUCAACCUUCAGUCGAUGGAAAUGGCUUACCAACACCAAUCCCGUCGACAUGAUUAACUAAUUCGUUCUUGAGGAAACUCCACAACCCAAGGGUCGAAUCUUUGGAUUAGGAAAAGUUUCAAAAAGACUCUGCACUUGUUUAUUAUCUUCAUUACCAAUAUAUGAUCGUGAUCCUGAACUUGUGCGAGCCCUCCAAGAGAAAGAUGACCGUAUCGAAGCUUUUAAGAAGAUGAUGGAAAAAUAGAAUGCGAGGAACAAGCUAAGAGAUGAGGAGCUUGCGUCAUUCAUGGCAGAGAUGCAAUCAAACUUCCCCGUGAAUUCAAGUUCUUAGAUAUAUAAGACUAAAAUAUUUAAGUUUUAUUGACCAUUUUCUUUUUCUUUUCGAUUUGUGUAUAUUGCAUUUUCUU